Molecule: ribosomal RNA, 1222 nt
Filed under: Leuconostoc mesenteroides
Lineage: Bacteria; Bacillati; Bacillota; Bacilli; Lactobacillales; Lactobacillaceae
Description: bacterial SSU rRNA
Rfam family: Bacterial small subunit ribosomal RNA
Source: RNAcentral
GCCUAAUACAUGCAAGUCGAACGCACAGCGAAAGGUGCUUGCACCUUUCAAGUGAGUGGCGAACGGGUGAGUAACACGUGGACAACCUGCCUCAAGGCUGGGGAUAACAUUUGGAAACAGAUGCUAAUACCGAAUAAAACUUAGUGUCGCAUGACACAAAGUUAAAAGGCGCUUCGGCGUCACCUAGAGAUGGAUCCGCGGUGCAUUAGUUAGUUGGUGGGGUAAAGGCCUACCAAGACAAUGAUGCAUAGCCGAGUUGAGAGACUGAUCGGCCACAUUGGGACUGAGACACGGCCCAAACUCCUACGGGAGGCUGCAGUAGGGAAUCUUCCACAAUGGGCGAAAGCCUGAUGGAGCAACGCCGCGUGUGUGAUGAAGGCUUUCGGGUCGUAAAGCACUGUUGUAUGGGAAGAACAGCUAGAAUAGGAAAUGAUUUUAGUUUGACGGUACCAUACCAGAAAGGGACGGCUAAAUACGUGCCAGCAGCCGCGGUAAUACGUAUGUCCCGAGCGUUAUCCGGAUUUAUUGGGCGUAAAGCGAGCGCAGACGGUUUAUUAAGUCUGAUGUGAAAGCCCGGAGCUCAACUCCGGAAUGGCAUUGGAAACUGGUUAACUUGAGUGCAGUAGAGGUAAGUGGAACUCCAUGUGUAGCGGUGGAAUGCGUAGAUAUAUGGAAGAACACCAGUGGCGAAGGCGGCUUACUGGACUGCAACUGACGUUGAGGCUCGAAAGUGUGGGUAGCAAACAGGAUUAGAUACCCUGGUAGUCCACACCGUAAACGAUGAACACUAGGUGUUAGGAGGUUUCCGCCUCUUAGUGCCGAAGCUAACGCAUUAAGUGUUCCGCCUGGGGAGUACGACCGCAAGGUUGAAACUCAAAGGAAUUGACGGGGACCCGCACAAGCGGUGGAGCAUGUGGUUUAAUUCGAAGCAACGCGAAGAACCUUACCAGGUCUUGACAUCCUUUGAAGCUUUUAGAGAUAGAAGUGUUCUCUUCGGAGACAAAGUGACAGGUGGUGCAUGGUCGUCGUCAGCUCGUGUCGUGAGAUGUUGGGUUAAGUCCCGCAACGAGCGCAACCCUUAUUGUUAGUUGCCAGCAUUCAGAUGGGCACUCUAGCGAGACUGCCGGUGACAAACCGGAGGAAGGCGGGGACGACGUCAGAUCAUCAUGCCCCUUAUGACCUGGGCUACACACGGGCUACAAUGGCGUAUACAACAAAUUGC